AGUGAACGCUGGCGGCAGGCCUAACACAUGCAAGUCGAGCGGCAGCGCGUCCGACCACCCUCGGGUGGUCGGAUGGCGGCGAGCGGCGGACGGGUGAGGAGUGCAUCGGAAUCUGCCUCGUUGUGGGGGAUAACGUAGGGAAACUUACGCUAAUACCGCAUACGACCUACGGGUGAAAGUGGGGGACCUUCGGGCCUCACGCGAUGAGAUGAGCCGAUGCCGGAUUAGCUAGUUGGCGGGGUAAAGGCCCACCAAGGCGACGAUCCGUAGCUGGUCUGAGAGGAUGAUCAGCCACACUGGAACUGAGACACGGUCCAGACUCCUACGGGAGGCAGCAGUGGGGAAUAUUGGACAAUGGGGGCAACCCUGAUCCAGCCAUGCCGCGUGUGUGAAGAAGGCCUGG
Molecule: ribosomal RNA, 403 nt
Filed under: uncultured bacterium
Lineage: Bacteria
Description: bacterial SSU rRNA
Rfam family: Bacterial small subunit ribosomal RNA
Source: RNAcentral